Molecule: ribosomal RNA, 445 nt
Filed under: uncultured bacterium
Lineage: Bacteria
Description: bacterial SSU rRNA
Rfam family: Bacterial small subunit ribosomal RNA
Source: RNAcentral
GUGAGGAAUAUUGCGCAAUGGAGGCAACUCUGACGCAGCCAUGCCGCGUGCAGGAAGAAGGCGCUACGCGUUGUAAACUGCUUUUAACCGGGAAGAAACCCCAGGACGUGUCCUGGGUUGACGGUACCGGAGGAAUAAGCACCGGCUAACUUCGUGCCAGCAGCCGCGGUAAUACGAAGGGUGCAAGCGUUAUCCGGAUUCAUUGGGUUUAAAGGGUGCGUAGGCGGAGCGUUAAGUCAGUGCUGAAAUCCUGCAGCUUAACUGUAGACUUGCCAUUGAUACUGGCGCUCUUGAGUGCGCUUGAAGUGGGCGGAAUGUGCCGUGUAGCGGUGAAAUGCUUAGAUAUGGCACAGAACACCAAUUGCGAAGGCAGCUCACUAAGGCGAUACUGACGCUGAGGCACGAAAGCGUGGGGAUCGAACAGGAUUAGAAACCCCGGUAGUCC